GGAGUUUGGUCCGUGUCUCAGUACCAAUGUGGGGGACCUUCCUCUCAGAACCCCUACUGAUCGUCGGCUAGGUGGGCCGUUACCCCGCCUACAACCUAAUCAGACGCAUCCCCAUCCUAUAGCGAUAAAUCUUUGCUUCUCGUCAGAUGCCAUCAAAGAAGAACAUAGAGCAUUAAUUCGACUUUCGCCGGGCUAUUCUCUACUAUAGGGAAGGUUGGAUACGCGUUACGCACCCGUGCGCCGGUCGCCAUCAACAAGUGCAAGCACUCGUCAUGCUGCCCCUCGACUUGCAUGUGUUAAGCCUGUAGCUAGCGUUCAUC
Molecule: ribosomal RNA, 320 nt
Filed under: uncultured Prevotella sp.
Lineage: Bacteria; Pseudomonadati; Bacteroidota; Bacteroidia; Bacteroidales; Prevotellaceae
Description: partial 16S ribosomal RNA
Source: RNAcentral